GCAGACGACCAGGCGUUCGCUCCGGCAGUUUUCUGUCGGGGAGGAAAGUCCGGGCUCCGCAGGACGCGAUGGUGGGUAACACCCACCGUCCGUGAGGACAGGGCAAGUGCAACAGAAAGCAAACCGCCUCAGCGAUCUUCCUUCGGGAAGUUUGCGAAGCAAAGUCGGCAACGACUUUCGGGGUAAGGGUGAAACGGUGCGGUAAGUGCGCACCAGCGGUUCAGGUGACUGAGCCGGCUGGGUAAACCCCAUCGGGAGCAAGGCCAAGCAGAAAGGAGCGAUGUCUUUGCACAUCCACGAACCGGUCCGGUUCGUCUGACUUUCGGGUCGGCUGCUACAGGUGCCAGGCAACUGUCAUCGCAGAUAAAUGAACGCCCUCGACAGAACCCGGCUUAUCGAUCCUCUGUCGAU
Molecule: RNase P RNA, 411 nt
Filed under: Planctomycetaceae bacterium
Lineage: Bacteria; Pseudomonadati; Planctomycetota; Planctomycetia; Planctomycetales; Planctomycetaceae
Description: RNase P RNA component class A
Rfam family: Bacterial RNase P class A
About the family: Ribonuclease P (RNase P) is a ubiquitous endoribonuclease, found in archaea, bacteria and eukarya as well as chloroplasts and mitochondria.
Source: RNAcentral